UACAGAGGGGGCAAGCGUUAUUCGGAAUUAUUGGGCGUAAAGGGCGCGUAGGCGGCCUGACAAGUGGAAGGUGAAAUCCCUCGGCUUAACCGAGGAACUGCCUUCCAAACUGUUUGGCUUGAGUCCGGGAGGGGCGAGUGGAAUUCCCAGUGUAGCGGUGAAAUGCGUAGAUAUUGGGAGGAACACCAGUGGCGAAGGCGGCUCGCUGGACCGGAACUGACGCUGAGGCGCGAAAGCGUGGGGAGCAAACAGG
This 253-nucleotide ribosomal RNA is filed under the name uncultured bacterium. RNAcentral's name for it is "partial 16S ribosomal RNA". It matches the Rfam family "Bacterial small subunit ribosomal RNA", at positions 524 to 776 of the family's 1533-position model. The record is from RNAcentral.